UGGGGAAUAUUGGACAAUGGGGGCAACCCUGAUCCAGCCAUGCCGCGUGUGUGAAGAAGGCCUUCGGGUUGUAAAGCUCUUUCAGCGGGGAAGAUAAUGACGGUACCCGCAGAAGAAGCCCCGGCUAACUUCGUGCCAGCAGCCGCGGUAAUACGAAGGGGGCUAGCGUUGUUCGGAAUUACUGGGCGUAAAGGGCGCGUAGGCGGAUUUGCAGGUUAGGGGUGAAAUCCGGGCUCAACCCCGGAACUGCCUCUAAAACUGCUAAUCUAGAGUUCGGGAGAGGUGAGUGGAAUUCCGAGUGUAGAGGUGAAAUUCGUAGAUAUUCGGAGGAACACCAGUGGCGAAGGCGGCUCACUGGCCCGAAAACUGACGCUGAGGCGCGAAAAGCGUGGGGAGCAAACAGGAUUAGAUACCC
RNAcentral lists this ribosomal RNA (415 nucleotides) under uncultured bacterium. RNAcentral describes it as "bacterial SSU rRNA". It matches the Rfam family "Bacterial small subunit ribosomal RNA", at positions 355 to 787 of the family's 1533-position model. The record is from RNAcentral.